CUGCAUUACAUAAAAAGAUACAUGUUAAAGAGUUUUUUUACUGGCAAGCAUUCUUGCUAUCAUUAUGCUUGUUGAAGCAAAGGUUAUGACCACACUGUAAAUUAUCAUUUAUGCAUGAGGGAAAUACUAAAAUACACUUCUUUUUUUGUCCUAGUGGUUUUACUAUUUUAUGUAUUUUUGGUCAAACAAAUAUUGGCAGUUCAUUGUUCGCAUUAUAUGCUGAAUCGGGACACAUAAUUGACACAUUCCAAUUUAUUGCUUUCUAUUGCAUGGGUUCUUUGUAUUCCUUUGAGGGGUUUGAGUGGUUGAAAUAUCAUCCACAGCAAGAUCUGAAAUCUAAUUACCAAAUUGAUUCUUCAGACCAUCUAAUGAUGUAAUACAUGUGAACUUUUCUUAUAUAAGAAAAAAAGGUGCUGCAUCAUAGUUUUUCACUAUAUUAUCUGCAAAGCUAAACUCAGGGACAGUUUUAGUACAAGUCUAGAAACCUCAUUUUUCAGAGCUUAUUCUGUCACAAGGGAAAAUGUUCAGGUUUCCAUAAUUGAAUGAAUAGUCUACAGUGACAUUCCCUUGCUAUUGAACGAAGCUCUGCUAGUGCUUUAUCAGAGUGUGAUGGUUAUCAUAAAACUGCAUAAGUCACUUCGGUGUUGCCGUUGAACUGCAUUACAUGUCUCCACUCAUUACCAUAACAUCAACACCCUUCUUAUAACUCUGCUGCAAACAGGGUAUAGGACAUCCCUCCCCUUCUGCAUGUGAGGUCAAAGGGACCUUCCAGAAAAUUUGAAAAUUGUAAUUGUCCUUUUUUUUCUAGGUAUCUUUGCAAUUAAGUUUCUAAUGGGGUAUUUCAGGGAAGGGAUUCCUCCAGGUCUAGAUAUACUCCUAACCUCUGUCAAAACUAAUAGAAGUUUGCCAGGAGGGGAGGUUGACACUAAUGAAGUCCCACCAAAUCAGGAUUAGGUCCAGUUUGUAAGUUCCUGAUUAAGUGUUAUACCAUAUAUACUAACAGUGACAGUUCAACCCACUGGGAUCAUAAACCUAGAACCCUUGAUGCCACACCUAACAAUGAAGCGACUAACUUGCUAGUCACACGAGGUGGUGUAAAAGCAAGCAGCUGUCCAGAUCCAGUAGCUGCAAUGCAGUACAAGGCCUCCCAAAAUUUUAAAAAAAAUAAAAAUCCAGUGGCUGCAGCAGUCUGACGGCGUGGUUUCACCGGAGAAAAUGGCUGGAGAACAAUCAUUAGAAAAGGGCCCGCAGAAAGAAAUACUAUUUAUUGCAGCUGCAAGAUGGGGCCCUCCAAUGUGAUUCUCCAGAUGCUGCCUAAUGUUGACCCCACCCUUUUUUUCUCCCCUCUUUUCAGGUUGGAAAGGCACCAAAAAAAAGAGCAAAAUUAUUAUACAACAUGCAAAAGAUUGAGGAAACUACUGUUGGGAUUGCGAUGUCUGUCAAUAUAUAACACACACUUCUCCAUUGGAUUUGUGAAUCCUGCAUGGAACUAAAGCAGGUACAGUCAGACAGAUGUUGUAGUUUAUAGGUUUGGUAUUUCUUAAAUCUUGUUUGACAAAUGGUGGAUUUUUCCCGUAUUUAUGUAAUGUUAUACUUUCUUUUAGGCCUAUCUGAAAUGGACACAAAAGGACAUAGGUAACCGGGGGAAGAGAGGAGCAGAAUCUAGCAGAUGCACCAUCAGAAUUCAACUCAUCACUAAUCAUUUCAUUGACCUACCAAAAGAAAAUGAACGCAGCCUCCUAGAAUUCUUUACCAAAAAUCAGUAAUGUUUAAUUAGACCAAUCAAGUUUAUAAGCAUAACUAGUUUCAUAAACAAAAAAAAGCAAAAAACAGAGUCUUUGCAUGGAUCAUAUUGGCUGCAGCAGAAAGUGCCUACGAUAUUUAUAAACUUCUUCUUUUUGCCAUUCGAGAAAAUGUCGCCUAUACUGUACAACAGCUAGCUGCCAUUGAGUCAAUAAAAGUGAUGGCCGGUUAUACGCAGACGAGCACCAUAGAAAGUGGGGGCAAUGAUAGAUAUCCUGUCAGGUAAUGCUGGGCUAAACUAGAUUGGGAUGUUGGGUUAGUAGAAUACAAAAGGCACCGUGUAUGUGUGUGUAGUGGUGGACCAAAAUGUAUAUGAAGCUGCAGGGUUUACAUGGAGUUUUGCAUUAUGCAAUCUCAGUGGGCAGUGAACAUAUUUUUCAAGCUCGUGUUUGAAGAAAAUGCAUGCAUGGUCCUAACUUUUCCUCUUAUAACACGAGUGCACUCAAAAGGAAAAAAAAAAUGAAGCUCGAGUAGUCGUGCAAGGGAGUACCACUUUCCACACUGAUUGGAAACCUUGUGCUGUACCACCAUCUAAGCCAGGUAUGUACAAUUCUUGUGUAUUGAAGAGUAUAAGUUUAUAUAUCAUAUAUAUUUAGUAUUACACAGUUUUGAUGGACUUUGCAAAUAUGUAUAGAAAUAAAUACCAGCUCUAAGGCAUAAAUGUCAAUGCAGUGCUUCUCCAAAAAUUUUUAAAAAGAACAUUUGAUCGAAAUUCAUGAUGUGACAGUCAUGUAAUGGUUGUCGGUCAGAGGCCAUAGUGUCCCAUGUACAGUGGCGAGAAAAUGAUGAUUGGUUGUGUCGGUGGGGAUCCAUGGGAAUACACAAGCGCAACAACCGGUAUCCUGGACGUGAUUACGAGGAUGGCGACGACGCGAUGGAACUCUUUCAUCCAUCGUCUAAUCAUCACCAAACAUGUAGGGAGUACCAGAGAUCGUGAUGAUCCCGUCAGGUCCCGGUACAACGCUCUGCGAUUGGUGUGUGGACAAUCCUCCUGGUGUAUCAUGAUUGGCAGCUAGAUAGGGACGUAUGUAUAUAUGUACCGAUACUGUAUUGUAAUUUAUUAUGUACUGUAUAUAUAGUUUGUCCACAUGAUUGUCUGUCCAAGAGAGAGAGAAUUGAGUUGUUUGGAAUGUUUACAUUCCAUAAAGGAAGACAAAAUCAAACACA
Long non-coding RNA from Setaria italica (foxtail millet), 2970 nucleotides. RefSeq lists it as uncharacterized. The record is from RefSeq and is a predicted model, not a curated record. The transcript is spliced from 2 exons. NCBI's taxonomy places the organism in Eukaryota, Viridiplantae, Streptophyta, Magnoliopsida, Poales, Poaceae.